AUACGGAGGGUGCAAGCGUUAUCCGGAAUCAUUGGGUUGAAAGGGUCCGUAGGCGGACUAUUAGGUCAGAGGUGAAAUCCCACAGCUCAACUGUGGAACUGCCUUUGAUACUGGUAGUCUUGAGUUAUAUGGAAGUAGAUAGAAUGUGUAGUGUAGCGGUGAAAUGCAUAGAUAUUACACAGAAUACCGAUUGCGAAGGCAGUCUACUACGUAUAUACUGACGCUAAGGGACGAAAGCGUGGGGAGCGAACAGGAUUAGAAACCCCAGUAGUCC
Molecule: ribosomal RNA, 274 nt
Filed under: uncultured bacterium
Lineage: Bacteria
Description: partial 16S ribosomal RNA
Rfam family: Bacterial small subunit ribosomal RNA
Source: RNAcentral